AUGCCUGAAGGGAUAAAUGAUACAACUAUUGUUCUUAUUCCUAAGGUGAAGAAUCCUCAGUCCAUAAAAGACUUCCGUCCAAUCAGUCUUUGUAAUGUGAUUUAUAAGAUUAUCUCUAAGUGCCUGGUCAACAGACUAAGACCUCUGCUAGAUGGUAUGAUUUCUCCUACCCAAAGUGCAUUCAUCCCUGGAAGAUCAAUAUCUGAUAAUGCACUUAUCGUG
This 222-nucleotide ribosomal RNA is filed under the name Triticum aestivum (bread wheat). Its description in RNAcentral is "partial small subunit ribosomal RNA". Lineage: Eukaryota; Viridiplantae; Streptophyta; Magnoliopsida; Poales; Poaceae. The record is from RNAcentral.